Molecule: ribosomal RNA, 538 nt
Filed under: uncultured bacterium
Lineage: Bacteria
Description: bacterial SSU rRNA
Rfam family: Bacterial small subunit ribosomal RNA
Source: RNAcentral
CUGUGCCGGAGCAAACGCGAUAAGUUCACCGCCUGGGGAGUACGGUCGCAAGGCUAAAACCCAAAGGAAUUGACGGGGGCCCGCACAAGCAGCGGAGCGUGUGGUUUAAUUCGAUGCAACGCGAAGAACCUUACCUGGGCUUGACAUGUACGUAGUAGUGAAGGGAAACCGGAACGAGCCUUCGGGCAGCGUAGACAGGUGCUGCAUGGCUGUCGUCAGCUCGUGUCGUGAGAUGUUGGGUUAAGUCCCGCAACGAACGCAACCCGUGUUGCUAGUUACAAGUGUCUAGCGAGACUGCCGGUAACAAGCCGGAGGAAGGUGCGGAUGAUGUCAAGUCAGCAUGGCCUAUAUGUCCAGGGCUACACACACGCUACAAUGGCUGGUACAAAGAGAAGCGAAAGGGAGACCUGAAGCGAAUCUCAUCAAAGCCAGUCAUAGUUCGGAUUGCAGGCUGCAACUCGCCUGCAUGAAGUCGGGGUUGCUAGUAACCGCAGGUCAGCAAUACUGCGGUGAAUACGUUCCCGGGCCUUGUACACAC